CCUACGGGGUGCAGCAGUGGGGAAUAUUGGACAAUGGGCGAAAGCCUGAUCCAGCCAUGCCGCGUGUGUGAAGAAGGCCUUCGGGUUGUAAAGCACUUUCAGUGGGGAAGAAAGCCUUGGGGCUAAUACCCUCGAGGAAGGACAUCACCCACAGAAGAAGCACCGGCUAACUCCGUGCCAGCAGCCGCGGUAAUACGGAGGGUGCGAGCGUUAAUCGGAAUUACUGGGCGUAAAGCGCGCGUAGGCGGUCUGAUAAGCCGGUUGUGAAAGCCCCGGGCUCAACCUGGGAACGGCAUCCGGAACUGUCAGGCUAGAGUGCAGGAGAGGGAGGUAGAAUUCCCGGUGUAGCGGUGAAAUGCGUGGAGAUCGGGAGGAAUACCAGUGGCGAAGGCGGCCUUCUGGACUGACACUGACGCUGAGGUGCGAAAGCGUGGGUAGCAAACAGGAUUAGAUACCCGAGUAGUC
RNAcentral lists this ribosomal RNA (465 nucleotides) under Vreelandella stevensii. RNAcentral's name for it is "partial 16S ribosomal RNA". It matches the Rfam family "Bacterial small subunit ribosomal RNA", at positions 338 to 795 of the family's 1533-position model. Lineage: Bacteria; Pseudomonadati; Pseudomonadota; Gammaproteobacteria; Oceanospirillales; Halomonadaceae. The record is from RNAcentral.